AGCUUUGCUCAGUGGCAGUAUCGUAGCCAAUGAGGUUUAUCCGAGACGCGAUUAUUGCUAAUUAAAAAAAGAGCUGAAAGAAAUCACAAAUUUCAAUACUGUUUUUUUUUCUACUAAAUUUCUAGGUAUUGAUAUUUUAC
Molecule: small nuclear RNA, 140 nt
Filed under: Tupaia belangeri chinensis (Chinese tree shrew)
Lineage: Eukaryota; Metazoa; Chordata; Mammalia; Scandentia; Tupaiidae
Description: Tupaia chinensis (Chinese tree shrew) U4 spliceosomal RNA
Rfam family: U4 spliceosomal RNA
About the family: U4 small nuclear RNA (U4 snRNA) is a component of the major U2-dependent spliceosome.
Source: Rfam by way of RNAcentral